AACGCUGGCGGCGUGGAUAAGGCAUGCAAGUCGAACGAACACUUCGGUGUGAGUGGCGAACGAGUUAGUAACACCUUGGUACCUACCCAAUACUCAGGCAUAACCAGUCGAAAGACUGGCUAAUUCCUGAUAGUCUCGCAAGAGUAAAGAUUUAUCGGUAUUGGAGGGGCCUAGGUCCUAUCAGCUUGUUGGUGAGGUAACGGCUCACCAAGGCUAUGACGGGUAGGGGGCGUGAGAGCGCGACCCCCAACGAGGGAACUGAGACACGGUCCUUACAUC
RNAcentral lists this ribosomal RNA (279 nucleotides) under uncultured bacterium. RNAcentral's name for it is "partial 16S ribosomal RNA". It matches the Rfam family "Bacterial small subunit ribosomal RNA", at positions 32 to 339 of the family's 1533-position model. The record is from RNAcentral.